CACCACUCAAGCCUCGCUUGGUCUUGGGCGCCGCGGUCCGCCGCGCGCCUCAAUGUUUCCGGCUGAGCCGUCCGUCUCUAAGCGUUGUGGUAAUCUAUCCGCUUGCGAGACUGGGGGGCGUCUAGCCGUUAAACUCCUACUCAAA
This 145-nucleotide unclassified non-coding RNA is filed under the name uncultured Teratosphaeriaceae. RNAcentral's name for it is "sequence contains ITS2". The record is from RNAcentral. Lineage: Eukaryota; Fungi; Ascomycota; Dothideomycetes; Mycosphaerellales; Teratosphaeriaceae.